UUUUUGGAUAGGUCGUACUGAGACGAGUUCAUAGACACGUAGUGGGCUCGAAUCGGAGUUGUAACGAGAGAGUUAUGGUCAAAAGAAACCCAGUGGCACAAUCGUAAAUAUUUCAAAAUGGGAUUUUUAUAAAAAUCUGGUUUUCUCUCUCCCUCUCUCUCUCUCUCUCCCGCGAGCAGCCCCUCCUCUUCCGUUUUUUUCUGCACAGCCGGUGGCUCCAAGAGCCACCACAGCCGCCACCAGCCACCGAUUGGGGUGGUACCGGUCCCAAAAGAACCGCCAGCUCCUCCUCCUUCCAUCCCGCUCCAUCCC
This 312-nucleotide long non-coding RNA is filed under the name Prunus persica (peach). Its description in RNAcentral is "long non-coding RNA (PPER_LNC003508)". Lineage: Eukaryota; Viridiplantae; Streptophyta; Magnoliopsida; Rosales; Rosaceae. The record is from RNAcentral.